RNAcentral lists this ribosomal RNA (461 nucleotides) under uncultured bacterium. RNAcentral's name for it is "SSU rRNA". It matches the Rfam family "Bacterial small subunit ribosomal RNA", at positions 26 to 518 of the family's 1533-position model. The record is from RNAcentral.
AGAAUCAACGCUGGCGGCGUGCCUAACACAUGCAAGUCGAACGAGAAAGUGGAGCAAUCCAUGAGUAAAGUGGCGCACGGGUGAGUAACACGUGACUAACCUACCCUUGAGUGGGGGAUAACCUAGGGAAACCUGGGCUAAUACCGCAUAAUACCUUCGGGUCAAAGGAGCAAUUCGCUUAAGGAGGGGGUCGCGGCCGAUUAGUUAGUUGGCGGGGUAAUGGCCCACCAAGACUGUGAUCGGUAUCCGGCCUGAGAGGGCGCACGGACACACUGGGACUGAGACACGGCCCAGACUCCUACGGGAGGCAGCAGUGGGGAAUCUUGCGCAAUGGGCGAAAGCCUGACGCAGCAACGCCGCGUGAGGGAUGAAGGUCUUCGGGUUGUAAACCUCUUUCGAGCAGGGACGAUUGUGACGGUACCUGCAGAAGAAGCUCCGGCCAACUACGCGCCAGCAGCCGC